This 253-nucleotide ribosomal RNA is filed under the name uncultured bacterium. RNAcentral's name for it is "partial 16S ribosomal RNA". It matches the Rfam family "Bacterial small subunit ribosomal RNA", at positions 524 to 776 of the family's 1533-position model. The record is from RNAcentral.
UACGGGGGGGGCAAGCGUUGUUCGGAAUUACUGGGCGUAAAGGGCUCGUAGGCGGCCAACUAAGUCGGACGUGAAAUCCCUCGGCUUAACCGGGGAACUGCGUCCGAUACUGGAUGGCUCGAGUUUGGGAGAGGGAUGCGGAAUUCCAGGUGUAGCGGUGAAAUGCGUAGAUAUCUGGAGGAAUACCGGUGGCGAAGGCGGCAUCCUGGACCGGCAUUGACGCUGAGGAGCGAAAGCUAGGGGAGCAAACGGG